AGAAAUCCAGCUAGGUUAAUACCCGGUUGGGAUGACGGUACCCAAAGAAUAAGCACCGGCUAACUUCGUGCCAGCAGCCGCGGUAAUACGAAGGGUGCAAGCGUUACUCGGAAUUACUGGGCGUAAAGCGUGCGUAGGUGGUCGUUUAAGUCCGUUGUGAAAGCCCUGGGCUCAACCUGGGAACUGCAGUGGAUACUGGGCGACUAGAGUGUGGUAGAGGGUAGCGGAAUUCCUGGUGUAGCAGUGAAAUGCGUAGAGAUCAGGAGGAACAUCCAUGGCGAAGGCAGCUACCUGGACCAACACUGACACUGAGGCACGAAAGCGUGGGGAGCAAACAGGAUUAGAUACCCUGGUAGUCCACGCCCUAAACGAUGCGAACUGGAUGUUGGGUGCAAUUUGGCACGCAGUAUCGAAGCUAACGCGUUAAGUUCGCCGCCUGGGGAGUACGGUCGCAAGACUGAAACUCAAAGGAAUUGACGGGGGCCCGCACAAGCGGUGGAGUAUGUGGUUUAAUUCGAUGCAACGCGAAGAACCUUACCUGGCCUUGACAUGUCGAGAACUUUCCAGAGAUGGAUUGGUGCCUUCGGGAACUCGAACACAGGUGCUGCAUGGCUCUCGUCAGCA
Molecule: ribosomal RNA, 624 nt
Filed under: Stenotrophomonas maltophilia
Lineage: Bacteria; Pseudomonadati; Pseudomonadota; Gammaproteobacteria; Lysobacterales; Lysobacteraceae
Description: bacterial SSU rRNA
Rfam family: Bacterial small subunit ribosomal RNA
Source: RNAcentral